CCUGGCGGCAGUAGCGCGGUGGUCCCACCUGACCCCAUGCCGAACUCAGAAGUGAAACGCCGUAGCGCCGAUGGUAGUGUGGGGUCUCCCCAUGCGAGAGUAGGAAACUGCCAGGC
This 116-nucleotide ribosomal RNA is filed under the name Escherichia coli. The record is from RNAcentral. Lineage: Bacteria; Pseudomonadati; Pseudomonadota; Gammaproteobacteria; Enterobacterales; Enterobacteriaceae. RNAcentral also lists the same sequence under 1 other name.